Molecule: RNA transcript, 7180 nt
Organism: Gracilinanus agilis (Agile Gracile Mouse Opossum)
Lineage: Eukaryota; Metazoa; Chordata; Mammalia; Didelphimorphia; Didelphidae
Gene: PRRC2A
Gene name: proline rich coiled-coil 2A
Exons: 31
Source: RefSeq, a predicted model, not a curated record
AGGCUCCAGCACGUUUCGGGGGAGGCGCCUGCAGGACCCAACGUACUCAAUGAGCUUCCAGCGCGAUGUCCGAUCGCUCGGGGCCGACUGCCAAGGGGAAGGAUGGAAAGAAGUAUUCCUCGCUCAACCUGUUUGAUACAUACAAGGGCAAGUCCUUAGAGAUCCAGAAACCCGCUGUUGCUCCUCGACAUGGCUUACAGAGUCUUGGGAAAGUUGCCAUCGCCCGGCGCAUGCCACCCCCAGCCAAUCUGCCGAGUCUGAAAGCCGAAAACAAAGGCAAUGACCCCAAUGUCUCGCUAGUGCCGAAAGACGGGACAGGAUGGGCAAGCAAACAGGAGCAGCCCGACCCCAAGAGUUCCGAUGCCUCAACUGCUCAGCCGCCGGAAUCGCAGCCACUGCCGGCUUCACAGACGCCUGCCUCCAGCCAGCCGAAACGCCCCCCAGCAGUCCCCGAGAACGCCCCUUCGGUUCCAAGCGGGGUAAAGUCUUGGGCACAAGCCAGUGUCACCCAUGGAGCGCACGGGGAUGGUGGAAGGGCAUCAAACCUACUGUCACGAUUCUCUCGAGAGGAAUUUCCGACCCUGCAGGCGGCUGGCGACCAGGACAAGGCUGCCAAGGAAAGGGAGUCUGCCGAACAGUCGUCUGGGCCCGGACCAAGCCUCCGCCCCCAAAAUUCCACAACUUGGAGGGAUGGAGGUGGGCGGGGCCCUGAUGAGCUGGAGGGCCCGGACUCCAAACUCCAUCAUGGUCACGACCCCCGGGGGGGGCUCCAGCCCUCCGGCCCUCCCCAGUUCCCUUCCUACCGCGGGAUGAUGCCGCCCUUUAUGUACCCCCCAUAUCUCCCGUUCCCUCCUUAUGGACCACAGGGGCCUUACCGAUACCCUACUCCUGAUGGGCCCAGCCGAUUCCCCCGGCUGGCUGGCCCCCGGGGCUCAGGUCCCCCCAUGCGCCUGGCAGAGCCUGUGAGCCGACCCUCCAUCCUCAAGGAGGAUAACCUCAAGGAAUUUGACCAGCUGGAUCAGGAGAAUGAUGACGGUUGGGCGGGGGCCCAUGAGGAGGUAGACUACACAGAAAAGCUCAAGUUCAGCGAUGAGGAGGAUGGUCGUGACUCUGAUGAAGAGGGAGCAGAGGGCCACAAGGAGUCUCGUCCUUCCAGUGAGGAUCGGCCCCCUGACACAGAAAACAAAAAGGGCUGUUCCUCUGGCAGUGAGCCACCCCCUCCCAAGGCAGCCUGGACAGAGAACUCCCGGCCUCCUGAGGCAGAGCCUGGGCCUCCUGCCCCUAAGCCUCCCCCACCCCCACCUCAUAGAGGCCCCACCGGGAAUUGGGGACCCCCUGGAGACUAUCCAGAUCGUGGGGGCCCACCCUGUAAGCCACCAGCACCUGAAGAUGAGGAUGAAGCUUGGCGGCAGCGUCGGAAGCAGUCAUCAUCAGAGAUUUCUCUAGCAGUAGAGCGGGCACGAAGGCGCCGAGAAGAAGAGGAACGGCGGAUGCAGGAGGAGCGACGGGCAGCCUGUGCAGAGAAGCUCAAGCGACUGGAUGAGAAGUUUGGGGCACCUGACAAACGACUCAAAGCAGAGCCUUCUGCCCCCCCUGCUGCUCCCCCUACCCCAGCUCCACCCCCUGCCACCUCCAAAGAACCCCCAGCACCUCCUGCACCACCUCCAGUGCUAGUCCCACCUGCUGAGAAGGAGCCUGAAGAGCCAGCUCUGGUCCCUGCCCCUGUCCAGCCUGCCCCUGCCCCUGUCUUGGCUCCAGCUCCCACCCUGGUGAGCGGGGGCAGCAGUAGCAGUACUAGCAGCAGCAGCUUUGAUGCUAGCCCAGUGGAGCCUCCACAACCACCAAAGGAGGGCCCUGAGCCACCAGAAGAAGUACCCCCACCUGCCACACCCCCAGCUCCCAAGGUGGUAGAACCCAAAGUUGAUGGAGCUGGGCCAACACGACAGCCCCCCAACCAGGGGCUGGGCUAUCCCAAAUACCAGAAGUCGCUGCCUCCCCGAUUCCAAAGACAGCAACAAGAGCAGCUUUUGAAGCAGCAACAGCAACAACAGUGGCAGCAGCACCAACAGGGUCCCACCCCUCCUGCUCCAGUGCCCCCAUCACCUCCACAGCCUGUGGCCAUGGGUGCUGUGCCACCCCCCCAGGCUCCCCCACCACCACCUAAGGCCCUAUACCCUGGCUCACUGGGUCGGCCACCACCAAUGCCCCCAAUGAACUUUGACCCUCGUUGGAUGAUGAUCCCACCCUACAUGGAUCCCAGGCUGCUUCAAGGGAGACCCCCCCUGGAUUUUUAUCCUCCGGGUGUGCAUCCCUCUGGUCUAGUUCCUCGGGAGCGCUCAGAUAGUGGGGGCUCAGGUUCAGAGCCUUUUGAUCGGCACCCACCUCCCCUCCUAAGGGAACGUGGCACCCCACCAGUGGACCCAAAGCUAGCUUGGGCAGGAGAUGUCUUUGCCACUGCACCUGCUGACAACCGACCACUCACCUCCCCACUUCGACAGGCCCCAGAAGAGGAUGAUAAAGGCAUACGGAGUGAGACCCCUCCAGCCCCUCCCCCCCCACCCUACCUAGCAACUUAUCCAGGCUUUCCUGAGAAUGGAGCCCCUGGUCCCCCACUUUCCCGGUUUCCUCUGGAGGAAUCUGGCCCCCCAGGCCCUCGUCCGAUCCCCUGGCCUACUGGAAGUGAUGAAUCGGCCAAAUUGUCAAUCCCACCCAAGAAGGAACCCCCUAAAGAAGAGUCCCAACAGCUAGGGGGACCAGAAACUGGACGCAAACCCCCCCGGAGUGGUGGGGGCGGGGGCCAAGGCCCACCACCACCACGUCGUGAGAGCCGAACAGAGACCAGAUGGGGUCCCCGCCCAGGUAGCAGCCGCCGUGGUGGACCACCUGAAGAACCAGGAGCACCCCCUCGUCGUGCUGGGCCUAUCAAAAAACCCCCACCCCCUACAAAGGCAGAAGAACUGCCUCCCAAGCCUCUUGAGCCAAGUGAUGAAACCUCUAAGGUCUCAAAACCAGAUGCUCUCAAGGUCUCCAAAGGGAAAACGGGAGGCCCCAAAGAUGCCCCUCCAGUUGGGGCCCUCUCCCCUGCACCUCGGCUUCGUCGGGAUUACUCAUAUGAGCGUGUAGGGCCAACUUCCUGCCGAGGCAGGGGCCGUGGAGAGUACUUUGCCCGGGGUAGAGGUUUCAGGGGGACUUAUGGGGGAAGGGGCAGGGGUGCUCGAAGCCGGGAGUUCCGUAGCUACCGGGAAUUCCGAGGAGAUGAUGGGCGUAGCAGUGGGACUGGAGGGCCAUCCCAUCCCCCUCCUCCCCGAGGUCGAACAGCCAGUGAGACUAGGAGUGAGGGUUCAGAGUACGAGGAAAUCCCUAAGCGGCGCCGGCAGCGGGGCUCAGAGACAGGCAGUGAGACACAUGAGAGUGACCUAGCCCCCUCCGACAAGGAAGCUCCUCCAGCCAAGGAGGGGGCACCACCUCAAGUACCUGUAGCUCCCCCACAACCAGGAGCCCCACCAUCACCAGCUCCAGCUCGAUUCCCUGCUACCCGGGGUGGUCGUGUUUUCACUCCUCGAGGUGUUCCAUCACGAAGGGGUCGAGGGGGUGGUCGACCUCCUCCCCCUGCUGGUCCAGGUUGGAGCCCUCCAGCCAAGUCCCUGGCACCCAAGAAGCCUCCACCUGGCCCACUGCCGCCAGGCAAGGAAUCCUCAAAGGAGAAGUUGGUUCCAGGGCCUCUGCCACCCCAGGCUCGAGGCGCUGGUGGUGGCAUAGAAGAUGGGGAGCGUCCCCGGAGGAGGAGGCAUGGACGGGCACAACAACAGGACAAGCCACCUCGAUUCCGGAGGCUAAAGCAAGAGAGGGAGAAUGCAGCAAGGGGGGCUGAGGGAAAGGCUCCACCUUUGCCCCUUACAACCACACCACCUGGUCCUGAGGAAGUACCAACAGCAGCAGUGGUGCCCCCACCUCCACGAAGGGCAGCUGCCAAAUCACCAGACCUGUCAAACCAGAACUCAGACCAGGCUAACGAAGAGUGGGAGACAGCAUCAGAGAGCAGUGAUUUUGCCAGCGAGCGUCGGGGAGACAAAGAGGCACCCCCACCUACCCUACUAGCCCCCAAGGUGGUGGGCACCCCUGGCAGUGGAGGUGGAGGGGUUGGGGCAAAUCCUGGGGUCUCCUCCAUGCCCCGAGGUGAGCUGAGCCAGAGAGCCAAAGACCUGAGCAAGCGGAGUUUCUCUAGUCAGCGACCUGGCAUGGAACGACAGAAUCGGCGCCCAGGACCAGGGGGAAAGACAGGUGGUGGCGGAGGCAGCGGGGUCCCUGGGGGGAGGGCUGGCCCUGGGCGAGGGGACAAAAGGAGCUGGCCCUCACCCAAGAACCGCAGCCGACCCCCAGAGGAGCGUCCCCCGGGACUUCCCCUGCCUCCCCCACCCCCCAGCAGCUCUGCCGUCUUCCGCCUGGACAGAGUCAUCCACAGCGACCCAGCUGGUAUCCAGCAGGCUUUGGCCCAACUCAGCAGCCGACAGGGGGGUGCAGCUGCCCCAGGGGGCCCCCCGAGGCCCAAGCCAGGGGCCCCCCCAGCCCCUCAGGGCCCCUCUCCCCGGCCCCCAGCACGAUUCGAGCCCCCAAGGGCCAGCAGCAACGGUGUAGGUGGCACCGAGCCCCACUUUGCGGAGCCAGGGCCAUUGGUGAGGGGGGUGAGUGGGACCUCCCGGGACUCUACUGGGGUUAAUCCCUUCCCCCCCAAACGUCGUGAUCGGCCUCCUCGAAAGCCGGAGCUGCUACAGGAGGAGUCUUUGCCUCCUCCUCAUAGCCCUGGAUUCCUAGGUCCCAAGCCAGAGGGACCCAAUCCACGAGGAGAGCCCAGAGAUGCAGGCACAGAGGCCCUUGCUCCCCAUAUCUGGAAUCGUCUGCAUACUACCGCCAGCCGAAAGAGUUAUCGACCUGGCUCAGUGGAGCCCUGGAUGGAGCCCCUCAGCCCUUUUGAAGAUGUGGCUGGCACAGAGAUGAGCCAGUCUGACAGUGGGGUGGAUCUGAGUGGCGACUCUCAGGUUUCAUCAGGCCCCUGCAGCCAGCGAAGUUCCCCUGAUGGGGGACUAAAGGGGACAGGGGAGGGUGCACCCAAGCGGCCUGGAGGCCCCUCACCCCUGAGCACUGCCCCUGGUGAGGGUCCACCUGGCUCUGAACCCUCCGAUCCUCCAAGGAGACGUCCUCCUGCCUCCCGUGAUGGGGACAAGAAGGAGCCACCUCUGCCCCCUGGCCCCAUAGGCACAGAACGAUCCCAGCGAGCAGAUCGAGGACCGGAGCCUGGUCCCCUUCGGCCCUCUCACCGACCUGGUCCCCCUAUCCAAUUUGGAACCAGUGACAAGGACUCUGACCUCCGCCUGGUGGUGGGAGACAGCUUAAAGCCAGAGAAGGAGUUGCCACAAUCUGGGCCUGAGGUGCCUGCUCCAGUACCCCGAGACUGGGAAUUGCUCCCCUCUGGUCCCACUUCAGCUGAGCCAACAUCCAAAAAUCUGGGCCCCAGCCAUUGUGGCCCAGAUCCCAACCCCUCGGGUCCCCGCCUAUACCCUGAGGUCUUCUACAGCAGCCCAGGGCCUCCAGGCACCCAGGUCCCAGGGGGAACAGUGGACUCUCAGCUGCACCCCACCAAUGGUGGAUUCCGCCCAGGGACCCCUUCGCUGCACCCCUAUAGGUCACAGCCCCUCUAUUUACCCCCUGGCCCAGCCCCUGCUUCAGCAUUGCUUUCGGGAGUAGCCCUUAAGGGCCAGUUCCUGGAUUUCUCAGCAUUGCAGGCAGCAGAGCUGGGGAAGCUGCCAGCUGGGGGUGUCCUCUAUCCCCCACCUUCCUUCCUCUACCCACCAGCCUUCUGCCCCAGUCCCCUGCCUGACCCCCCUUUGCUGCAGGUGCGUCAGGACCUGCCAUCCCCUUCAGAUUUCUACUCUGCUCCUCUGCAGCCUGGUGGCCAAAAUGGCUUCCUGCCCCCGGCUGCCCCCACCCAGCAGAUGCUGCUGCCAGUAGUGGAAUCCCAGCUACCUGUGGUGAACUUCAGCUCCCUGCCUCCAGCUCCACCUCCUGCCCCACCUCCACUUUCCCUGCUGCCUGUGGGCCCUGCCCUACAGCCCCCCAGUCUGGCUGUCCGGCCCCCACCUGCUCCGGCAGCCCGGGUGCUACCCUCACCCGCCCGGCCCUUCCCUCCCAGCUUGGGGAGAGCAGAGCUGCACCCAAUGGAACUAAAGCCGUUCCAGGAUUAUCGAAAACUGAGCAACCUCGGGGGACCUGGGGCUCGAACCCCCCCAGCUGGAAGGCCCUUCUCUGGUCUCAGCUCCCGACUCAAGGCCCCACCUACUGGAUACAGUGGUGUUGGUGUCUUCCGCACCCAGCGCUUCGACCUCUACCAGCAGUUUGGAAACUGGCCUACCCUCAAUGAUCCCCAAGUCUGUUUCUCACUCUCCCAGUUUGACUCCAUGUGUACCUGCCCUCAGGCCUCCCCACCGGAUGCCCUGCGCUGGAUGCCGAAGCCCUGGGAGCGGGCAGGGCCACCCUCUCGUGAGGGUCCACCCCGGCGGGCAGAGGAGUCAGGGCCCCGUGGGGACAAGGAUCCUGGGUUGCCCCCGCCCCGCUGAGGGAGCUGCCCCCCCCUGGGGCCUGUACAUAGAUAUAAAUAUAUAAGGGGGAAGGGGGCGGGUGGGGAGGGGUUGUGGGGCUGGGGCCUCCCUCCCCCUCCCCCCUCUUCCCCUGGGCCCCUAUCCCUGGGGCCGUUUGUUUAAAAAAGAAUAAAAGGAUUUAAAAAAAAAUGUCCAAGUUGUUUAGAGAAUGAAUGUGAGGACAGAUAUAUUCCUCCUGAAUGGCCAUCAGAAGGAAACGACAGAAUUCAUCCUGCUUCAAGCUUUUACCCCAACUCCCACCCCAAAAAUGAGCCGGGCCAUCAGGGGUGAGGGGUGGUGGUAGACUGCAAUCAGAUUGUAUAUGGCAAUAUCGUUCACCAGAGGCAUCCAAAAUAAUGACGGUGAUCCGGCCCAUCCCAGCUUAUUUUCCCCUUGCUGACCUGAUCUAAUGGUCUCUUCCACUUUGAGCCCACCCUCUUUUCCAAAUGAACUUCCUGCCCUAGACCAUUCCAUUUCAGCUCUAGGAAAGGGAAGGACUGUCCCUAAUGAAACUUUCCGCUAAAGAAUUGCUAUUCUGUUUUGAGAGG